RNAcentral lists this non-coding RNA (29 nucleotides) under Cricetulus griseus (Chinese hamster). Lineage: Eukaryota; Metazoa; Chordata; Mammalia; Rodentia; Cricetidae. The record is from RNAcentral.
UGGAAAGAAAGGAUUUUGCAAAGGGCUCA